AAGGUUCUUUUUGUGAGAUGUUUUCAUGGUGUGGGAAUAAGACUUGGUGGUCUAAUACAGCUAAUAUGAAGAUUAGCACUAUAGCUUGUCUGUAAGGAUUGAGGCUGGGAAGGGCCAUUGGAGCUGACUUUUAUGGUAACUUUAAUUGAGGAAGCAUUAAAUUAUUGUGCGAUUUAACUGAAACUAUAAAGAAUGUAAUUCAGACAAUAAUUGUUUGUGUGAAAAAAUGUUAAUGAUUUGAGAAGAAAAAAGAUGUGUAAAGAUUCUCCUUUUUCAACAAGAUUGGGAGUUGUAGGAUAUUAUUAUCCCCCCUUCACAGCCCCCUUGUGACUAGGUUUGAUGGGGAAGUUUAAAAUGAUGGGAAAUGGACAAAUUUUACAAUUUAACAUGUAGUAUAGAUCUUCAUUUUACGCAAGAUAUCUUAAUAUGGUCCAUA
Long non-coding RNA from Mytilus trossulus (common blue mussel), 436 nucleotides. RefSeq lists it as uncharacterized. The transcript has 3 exons. The record is from RefSeq and is a predicted model, not a curated record. Lineage: Eukaryota; Metazoa; Mollusca; Bivalvia; Mytilida; Mytilidae.